This 483-nucleotide ribosomal RNA is filed under the name uncultured bacterium. RNAcentral's name for it is "partial 16S ribosomal RNA". It matches the Rfam family "Bacterial small subunit ribosomal RNA", at positions 30 to 507 of the family's 1533-position model. The record is from RNAcentral.
AUUGAACGCUGGCGGCAGGCCUAACACAUGCAAGUCGAGCGGAUGAAGGGAGCUUGCUCCUGGAUUCAGCGGCGGACGGGUGAGUAAUGCCUAGGAAUCUGCCUGGUAGUGGGGGAUAACGUCCGGAAACGGGCGCUAAUACCGCAUACGUCCUGAGGGAGAAAGUGGGGGAUCUUCGGACCUCACGCUAUCAGAUGAGCCUAGGUCGGAUUAGCUAGUUGGUGGGGUAAAGGCCUACCAAGGCGACGAUCCGUAACUGGUCUGAGAGGAUGAUCAGUCAAACUGAACCUGAGCACGGGCCCAAACCCUUAGGGGAGGAGGAGUGGGGAAUAUUGGACAAUGGGCGAAAGCCUGAUCCAGCCAUGCCGCGUGUGUGAAGAAGGUCUUCGGAUUGUAAAGCACUUUAAGUUGGGAGGAAGGGCAGUAAGUUAAUACCUUGCUGUUUUGACGUUACCAACAGAAUAAGCACCGGCUAACUUCGUG